This is a long non-coding RNA of Pezoporus flaviventris, 1214 nucleotides long. RefSeq lists it as uncharacterized. Lineage: Eukaryota; Metazoa; Chordata; Aves; Psittaciformes; Psittacidae. The transcript is spliced from 3 exons. The record is from RefSeq and is a predicted model, not a curated record.
CCGGUGGCCCUCCUGCUCCCCUCACCUUGACCAGCUUGGAGACCGGCCUCGCCGCCGAAGUGCUCAGCUGCCGCACCUGCGGGGCACAAAACGGACGGAGGGACCAGGCUGGGAAAUGGUCUCCCAGGGACUGCCCUUUAUCUUCCACAGGAACAGUUGGUACUUUUGCUGAAUCUAAUUCACCUGGUUGUUUUCCAUACCUCUGCUCCAUAAGCAGUUCCGCUCUGGCAGGUAAGUUCAAACUGUGGUAAUGUGCGAGUGGCUAUGGAGAAAAUAACAAAGAGGAGAUUCAUAGUGCCUGCUCCAGCACUGCUGUGGAAAAUGAGGUGUUAACAUAAACUCACAUCUGGAGUCAGAAUGUUAACAUACAUAGUGAAUUAGAGGUGCUGAUCCAUGUUCUUGAGGUCUGUCACAGAAAUGUCCACUGACAUGGCAGAAUCAGCAGAGAUUAUUGGCUGAGCAGAUUUGGAACAUGAACCACCUUUUCAUUUAGGACUGAAAGUGGCCUUUCAAGUGGAAGACCUCUCUUACUUCAGUUUAAACUUGGGCCAGUAUCUGCCCAGUUCGUAGCACAGUAGAUCUCCAAAAUACUCAGAGGUCAGAGGUAUUUCUGCAAAGCUGAGACCCCAGCCCGCCAUCCACUCCCCACAUGUAGAUCUUUGUGUCUGCUUCGAACUGAAAUUAACCUGUCUUUUGCAUCGAUGCAAGCAUCUUGCCCAGUGAGCGUAUUGCAGCAUUUUGUGUUAGAUAGAUGCCUCAGCAGAUUCUGGUUGCAUGUUAGGGCUACAGCUUACUCAUUACCACAAGAGGGAAGCCAAUACUAAUAUUAUAACUUUCUGCAUGUAUUACCUAUGGUUAUUGUGGCAAGGUUUUUAUCCAUUUCAAGGCUGUUGCACGUCUCCUCUUUCCUUCUAGCAAACUUGCAUUUGAUCAUAUGUCAGAAACUAAAGAACAUUAUUCCACAUUCCAUUUGCUCAAUGUUCUGUGAAAUGAAUUUCAUGGAUUUGCCUAUCAUCUUGUUUGAAUGGCAAAUACAUAAAGCUGAAACAGAAAGUUGGUACAGAACUAAGCUGGUUGCUUUCUUAGUGAAUUUGAACAGUCCCACAUGCAAGUAAGAGGAAGUUUGGUGGCCAUGGGACUUGAAAAAAUAAAGAUGUUUUCCCUCAUUUGGAUGAGCAUGAGAAAUUGAAGAUUAUUCUAGAAGUCAUAGACAU